UCCCGUUGGGAUGCAUUCUGUCAGAAUGCACCUCAUCAGGAUACAUCCCAUCGGGAUG
RNAcentral lists this microRNA precursor (58 nucleotides) under Columba livia (rock pigeon). RNAcentral's name for it is "Cli-Mir-9621_pre stem-loop". The record is from RNAcentral. Lineage: Eukaryota; Metazoa; Chordata; Aves; Columbiformes; Columbidae.